CAGUAGCCGCGGUAACACGAAGGGUGCAAGCGUUACUCGGAAUUACUGGGCGUAAAGCGUGCGUAGGUGGUGGUUUAAGUCCGUUGUGAAAGCCCUGGGCUCAACCUGGGAAUUGCAGUGGAUACUGGGUCACUAGAGUGUGGUAGAGGAUAGUGGAAUUUCCGGUGUAGCAGUGAAAUGCGUAGAGAUCGGAAGGAACAUCUGUGGCGAAGGCGACUAUCUGGGCCAACACUGACACUGAGGCACGAAAGCGUGGGGAGCAAACAGGAUUAGAUACCCGCGUAGUCCCUGUCUCUUAUAC
Molecule: ribosomal RNA, 301 nt
Filed under: uncultured bacterium
Lineage: Bacteria
Description: partial 16S ribosomal RNA
Rfam family: Bacterial small subunit ribosomal RNA
Source: RNAcentral